CACAGAGUGACACGGGCGCGAGCCUUCGCCCGUGGUAAUGUGGCGAGCCGGUCACAAGCCCGG
Molecule: non-coding RNA, 63 nt
Filed under: unclassified sequences
Source: RNAcentral